AUGAGAGCAGAAGCGUCUGAAAAGGAGAAAUCCAAAAAGAAAGUUUUAAAAGAGAUUGUUGAGAAGGCAGUGGAGGAAGAUACAAAUGACAUGACUGAGGACGACUCUGUGGAGGAAGAGAAAUAUGAAAAAGAAAAAUCUAGAACAGAGGAUGUGGAAAUAGAGGUAAGAGAGGCUGAAGCAGAGAAGGCUGAGGUAGAGGAUGAAGAGGAGAAGAAUGAUGAAGAAGAAUGA
Vicia faba (fava bean) is the source of this 234-nucleotide non-coding RNA. The record is from the annotation of a GenBank genome assembly. Lineage: Eukaryota; Viridiplantae; Streptophyta; Magnoliopsida; Fabales; Fabaceae.